This is a small nucleolar RNA of Lotus japonicus, 107 nucleotides long. Lineage: Eukaryota; Viridiplantae; Streptophyta; Magnoliopsida; Fabales; Fabaceae. The record is from RefSeq and is a predicted model, not a curated record.
AGGUUGUGUUGAGGACACCUCCUCAAUAGCUUUUUGAACCUCUCCCAAGCUUCAUAGAGGUUUUCACUUUCAGAUUGAGUAAAGGUCAUGAUCUCAAUCCUUAUCUU